UGGGGAAUUUUGGGCAAUGGGCGAAAGCCUGAUCCAGCAAUGCCGCGUGAGUGAAGAAGGCCUUCGGGUUGUAAAGCUCUUUCACCGGUGAAGAUAAUGACGGUAACCGGAGAAGAAGCCCCGGCUAACUACGUGCCAGCAGCCGCGGUAAUACGUAGGGUGCAAGCGUUAAUCUGAAUUACUGGGCGUAAAGCGUGCGCAGGCGGUUAUGCAAGACAGAUGUGAAAUCCCCGGGCUCAACCUGGAACUGCAUUUGUGACUGCAUAGCUGGAGUGCGGCAGAGGGGGAUGGAAUUCCGCGUGUAGCAGUGAAAUGCGUAGAUAUGCGGAGGAACACCGAUGGCGAAGGCAAUCCCCUGGGCCUGCACUGACGCUCAUGCACGAAAGCGUGGGGAGCAAACA
Molecule: ribosomal RNA, 401 nt
Filed under: uncultured bacterium
Lineage: Bacteria
Description: bacterial SSU rRNA
Rfam family: Bacterial small subunit ribosomal RNA
Source: RNAcentral